CUGUGAUAAAUAAAUUUCUGUUGUUUAGAAGUCACCCAGUCUAUGGUAAUUUGUUACAGCAGCCUGAAUGGAUUAAGACAGCCAUUCAGUCCCAGCUCAGACCAGAGCCCAAGGCUUCACUGACCACAGGAGCAGGCAAGGGUCUGGGGCAAGAGAGGAGGAACUGCUGUGCCCAGAUCGGCAGGCUCAAGUGGGAGAGGCACUGGACUAGGGGAUGAGUGAGCAAGAG
This 229-nucleotide long non-coding RNA is filed under the name Homo sapiens (human). Its description in RNAcentral is "HSALNT0004596". Lineage: Eukaryota; Metazoa; Chordata; Mammalia; Primates; Hominidae. The record is from RNAcentral.